ACAGAACAUCACCGUAGAAAU
Molecule: small nuclear RNA, 21 nt
Filed under: Arabidopsis thaliana (thale cress)
Lineage: Eukaryota; Viridiplantae; Streptophyta; Magnoliopsida; Brassicales; Brassicaceae
Description: snRNA_17035
Source: RNAcentral